AUGCCUUGCAUCUACCCCCUAGCAGAUGACGGGCAAAGUAUGUUGUUGGCACUGCUAAAGAAUCGAUGGCCAAGGCUGGUGGAGGCACAAAAUGGCUUGCCUGACAGGGAACUACCGGAGGUAAUCGAGGGUCUUUGUACCUUGCCAGGCGUUGGUCCAAAAGUUGCAGCCUGCAUUUGUCUGUUCUCUCUUGAUAAGAAUCAGGUUAUUCAUGUUGACACACACGUCUGGAAGAAUGAGAACAUGUUUUGUGGUAUCAAAAAUACAUUUGAACCUUGA
Molecule: ribosomal RNA, 279 nt
Filed under: Triticum aestivum (bread wheat)
Lineage: Eukaryota; Viridiplantae; Streptophyta; Magnoliopsida; Poales; Poaceae
Description: partial small subunit ribosomal RNA
Source: RNAcentral